Molecule: unclassified non-coding RNA, 345 nt
Filed under: soil metagenome
Description: partial contains 5.8S ribosomal RNA, internal transcribed spacer 2, and large subunit ribosomal RNA
Rfam family: 5.8S ribosomal RNA (bases 1-120)
Source: RNAcentral
GAUGAAGAACGUAGCGAAAUGCGAUAAGUAAUGUGAAUUGCAGAAUUCCGUGAAUCAUCGAAUCUUUGAACGCACAUUGCGCCCUCUGGUAUUCCGGGGGGCAUGCCUGUCCGAGCGUCAUUGCAACCCUCAAGCGCGGCUUGUGUGUUGGGCCUCCGUCCUCCUCCCGGGGGACGGGCCCGAAAGGCAGCGGCGGCACCGCGUCCGGUCCUCGAGCGUAUGGGGCUUCGUCACCCGCUCUUGUAGGCCCGGCCGGCGCUUGCCGACACAUCAAUCUUUUUUCCAGGUUGACCUCGGAUCAGGUAGGGAUACCCGCUGAACUUAAGCAUAUCAAUAAGCGGAGGA